This 497-nucleotide ribosomal RNA is filed under the name uncultured bacterium. RNAcentral describes it as "partial 16S ribosomal RNA". It matches the Rfam family "Bacterial small subunit ribosomal RNA", at positions 28 to 507 of the family's 1533-position model. The record is from RNAcentral.
GAUGAACGCUGGCGGCGUGCCUAAUACAUGCAAGUCGAGCGAACGGACGAGAAGCUUGCUUCUCUGAUGUUAGCGGCGGACGGGUGAGUAACACGUGGAUAACCUACCUAUAAGACUGGGAUAACUUCGGGAAACCGGAGCUAAUACCGGAUAAUAUUCUGAACCGCAUGGUUCAAAAGUGAAAAACGGUCUUGCUGUCACUUAUAGAUGGAUCCGCGCUGCAUUAGCUAGUUGGUAAGGUAACGGCUUACCAAGGCAACGAUGCAUAGCCGACCUGAGAGGGUGAUCGGCCACACUGGAACUGAGACACGGUCCAGACUCCUACGGGAGGCAGCAGUAGGGAAUCUUCCGCAAUGGGCGAAAGCCUGACGGAGCAACGCCGCGUGAGUGAUGAAGGUCUUCGGAUCGUAAAACUCUGUUAUUAGGGAAGAACAUAUGUGUAAGUAACUGUGCACAUCUUGACGGUACCUAAUCAGAAAGCCACGGCUAACUACGUG